AUUGAACGCUGGCGGCAUGCCUUACACAUGCAAGUCGAACGGCAGCAUGAUCUAGCUUGCUAGAUUGAUGGCGAGUGGCGAACGGGUGAGUAAUACAUCGGAACGUGCCCUGUAGUGGGGGAUAACUAGUCGAAAGAUUAGCUAAUACCGCAUACGACCUGAGGGUGAAAGUGGGGGACCGCAAGGCCUCAUGCUAUAGGAGCGGCCGAUGUCUGAUUCGCUAGUUGGUGAGGUAAAGGCUCACCAAGGCGACGAUCAGUAGCUGGUCUGAGAGGACGAUCAGCCACACUGGGACUGAGACACGGCCCAGACUCCUACGGGAGGCAGCAGUGGGGAAUUUUGGACAAUGGGCGAAAGCCUGAUCCAGCAAUGCCGCGUGUGUGAAGAAGGCCUUCGGGUUGUAAAGCACUUUUGUCCGGAAAGAAAUGGCUCUGGUUAAUACCUGGGGUCGAUGACGGUACCGGAAGAAUAAGGACCGGCUAACUACGUG
RNAcentral lists this ribosomal RNA (490 nucleotides) under uncultured bacterium. RNAcentral's name for it is "partial 16S ribosomal RNA". It matches the Rfam family "Bacterial small subunit ribosomal RNA", at positions 30 to 507 of the family's 1533-position model. The record is from RNAcentral.